RNAcentral lists this ribosomal RNA (253 nucleotides) under uncultured bacterium. RNAcentral's name for it is "partial 16S ribosomal RNA". It matches the Rfam family "Bacterial small subunit ribosomal RNA", at positions 524 to 776 of the family's 1533-position model. The record is from RNAcentral.
CACGUAGGAGGCGAGCGUUGUCCGGAAUCAUUGGGCGUAAAGAGCGCGCAGGCGGCUUGGCAAGUCGGGUGUGAAAUCCCGGGGCUCAACCCCGUGACUGCAUCCGAUACUGUCAGGCUAGAGGUAGGUAGGGGAGAUCGGAAUUCCUGGUGUAGCGGUGAAAUGCGCAGAUAUCAGGAGGAACACCGGUGGCGAAGGCGGAUCUCUGGGCCUUACCUGACGCUCAGGCGCGAAAGCCAGGGGAGCGAACGGG